Molecule: ribosomal RNA, 207 nt
Filed under: uncultured bacterium
Lineage: Bacteria
Description: partial 16S ribosomal RNA
Rfam family: Bacterial small subunit ribosomal RNA
Source: RNAcentral
UGUGUAGGCGGUUGUUUAAGUUUGGUGUGAAAUCUCCCGGCUCAACUGGGAGGGUGCGCCGAAUACUGAAUGACUCGAGUGCGGGAGAGGAGAGUGGAAUUCCUGGUGUAGCGGUGAAAUGCGUAGAUAUCAGGAGGAACACCGGUGGUGUAGACGGCUCUCUGGACCGUAACUGACGCUGAAACACGAAAGCGUGGGUAGCAAACA